AUGCUCGCAAAAAAGAAAAGAAAAGAAAAAAAAAUCCAUGCACGCAGACGUCCACAAGAUACGAGACCGUCUUAUCCACCUCAUCCUUCAGCACAGUUUAGCAUUUUUGCUUCAGGUAUCUACCUCACCCUUCCGUCCGGUACUACCCCACCACUCACCAGUUCACCACACAAUUCUUAUCCCGAGCAAAGAGCUAGCCUCGUUGGAGACGAGCGGACAGAGAGAAGUCGAGCAGGAAGAACAAUGGAGGUUGCAGCCGGGGCGAUGAACCCCCUCCUCCGCAAGCUCGGCGACCUGCUCGUGGCCGAGUUCACCCUGGACAACCGCGUGAAGAAGGGCGUCAAGUCCCUCCUUACGGAGCUGGAGAUGAUGUACGUUGUCCUCUGUAAAGCUGGAGAUGAUGGCCGCCGGCGGAGCAACUCGACCCGCAGGUACGGAUCUGGGCAGGCAAGGUUCGUGAGCUCUCCUACAACAUGGAGGACGUCGUGGAUGCCUACAUGGUCAGUGUCUACGAUGGCGGCCAUGGUGAACUGGGCCCCAAUAACAUGA
Molecule: ribosomal RNA, 549 nt
Filed under: Triticum aestivum (bread wheat)
Lineage: Eukaryota; Viridiplantae; Streptophyta; Magnoliopsida; Poales; Poaceae
Description: partial small subunit ribosomal RNA
Source: RNAcentral